UCCACUUGUCCUUUCAGCAAUCACCGUUAACCGGAAGGUAGCAAACUAGCAUUGCAACGCUAGAAAAGAAAGAACUCGCGUGGGGCCCACAACUUCCGCCACAAGCCAACCCCGAUUUCCCCUUCCGCCCCGCACCGCCUCGCCUCGCUCCGCUACCCCCACCGCCGCCGCGUAGGCAGCGGCGAUGGCGUCGUCGUCGCGGCCCCUGCUCCGCCGCCUCGCGGCUCUGGCCAGCGGCCGCGUCCGUGCCAACCACCGCUUGCUCUCCUCCUCCCCCGCCGCCGUCUCUGCCGAGCGGGCGUCGCGGUCGCCGGGGGAGCCGGAGGUCGUGCGCAUGACGGAGGGUUGCGUUCGGAGAUUAAAAGAAUUACAUGCUAAAGAACCAUCCGCUGAUGGUAAGAUGCUGCGGUUAAGCGUUGAAGCUGGUGGAUGUUCUGGGUUCCAAUAUUCUUUCUGUCUCGAUGACAAGAAAAAUUCAGAUGACAGGGUCUUUGAGACUGAUGGUGUUAAAUUAGUCGUGGAUGACAUCUCAUAUGACUUUGUGAAAGGUGCAACUGUGGAUUAUGAGGAAGAACUUAUACGUUCAGCAUUCGUGUUGCUACUCGUUUGAGACCUUUCAAAGUGAGGGGAAGAAUGAGAACAAAAAGAUUCGGGAGAAGGUGUGGAUUGAAGGUCUCAACAAAUCCUAGUGCUGUUGGGGGCUGCAGCUGCAAGAGUUCUUUUAUGGUCAAAUAGCUUCAACUUUAUUAUCUUGAAGAGAUGGGUAACUGGAAAUAGUGUUCUGUAGCAAAAUAUACCUUUUAGAUACUGGGUGUACAAUUGGUAUUUUUGGUAGUUCUGAAGAUGUUUCUUUCUGAAUUUUGUUAUUUGUUAAAAAUAUCAUCACAAACAUUCUGUUCCUAUAUGUAUCGCUCUAAUCUUGUGAUGACAAAUUUAUGUACAUGUGAUCCUCGGGCCUUUAACAUUGAUCUUGUUGCUUCUUCCAAAAUUCUAAAUAAGAACAGUCUUUUGUUGUACUGA
Molecule: RNA transcript, 1020 nt
Organism: Phragmites australis (common reed)
Lineage: Eukaryota; Viridiplantae; Streptophyta; Magnoliopsida; Poales; Poaceae
Gene name: iron-sulfur assembly protein IscA-like 2, mitochondrial
Exons: 5
Source: RefSeq, a predicted model, not a curated record